This 430-nucleotide ribosomal RNA is filed under the name uncultured bacterium. Its description in RNAcentral is "bacterial SSU rRNA". It matches the Rfam family "Bacterial small subunit ribosomal RNA", at positions 355 to 776 of the family's 1533-position model. The record is from RNAcentral.
UAGGGAAUAUUGCGCAAUGGAGGAAACUCUGACGCAGCGACGCCGCGUGGGUGAUGAAGGCCUUCGGGUCGUAAAGCCCUGUCGGAAGAGAAGAAACGCACUCUGGCUAAUAUCCAGAGUGUUUGACGGUACCUUCAAAGGAAGCACCGGCUAACUACGUGCCAGCAGCCGCGGUAAUACGUAGGGUGCUAGCGUUGUUCGGAAUCAUUGGGCGUAAAGCGCGUGUAGGCGGUUUGUUAAGUCGGAUGUGAAAUCCCUGGGCUCAACCGAGGAAGGGCAUUCGAAACUAACUGGCUGGAAGAUGGUAGAGGAAGGUGGAAUUCCUAGUGUAGAGGUGAAAUUCGUAGAUAUUAGGAGGAAUACCGGUGGCGAAGGCGGCCUUCUGGACCAUUCUUGACGCUGAGACGCGAAAGCGUGGGUAGCAAACAGG